Long non-coding RNA from Mus musculus (house mouse), 435 nucleotides. RefSeq annotates it as predicted gene, 51638. NCBI's taxonomy places the organism in Eukaryota, Metazoa, Chordata, Mammalia, Rodentia, Muridae. The record is from RefSeq and is a predicted model, not a curated record. The transcript is spliced from 3 exons.
GCAGCUAUCUAUGGACAGUAGAGUAUGGGGGCUAUAACCCAUGGAGCAUACAGGAAGACACCCCAAAGGACCACCUCCUGCAGAUCAAUUGCUGUUCAGCGGCCUAAACCUGAACAGCAGGCUGCUGGUUCCGAAGCCCAGAGCGUCCUGGUUUCACAAGAAGCCCCUUCGUAGACCCUGUGGGUUUGGAGGUGCCAGCAGAAGCCAUGGACCAUCUCACCUCUGAGAGGACAGGCAAUAGAUAGGAGAUGGAUGGAUCGAUAGAUGGAUAGAAGAAUGGAUGGAUGGAUGGACAGACAGACAGACCAACAGACAGGCUGAGCCCUGGAGAUGCUCAUGUGAGGCCUGGGCCAGGCUGAGACUGAGCACGGACAUGGUGUUCCCUCCUCGGCCCCUCCUGACCCCUAUCCCAUCUCCAUCCAGCUCACCUGUGCA